CCCUUAGAUGUCCGGGGCCGCACGCGCGCUACACUGACGAAGUCAGCGAGCAUGUCCUACGCCGACAGGUGCGGGGAAUCUUGUCAAACUUCGUCGUGAUGGGGAUUGAUUAUUGAAAUUCUUGAUCAUCAACGAGGAAUUCCUAGUAAGCGCAAGUCAGCAGCUUGCGUUGAUUACGCCCCUGCCCUUUGUACACACCGCCCGUCGCUACUACCGAUUGAAUGGUUUAGUGAGAUCUUCGGAUUGGCGCCACUGCGGCUCAGCAAUGGGCUCGGUGGAUGCCGAAAAGUUGAUCAAACUUGAUCAUUUAGAGGAAGUAAAAGUCGUAACA
RNAcentral lists this ribosomal RNA (331 nucleotides) under uncultured eukaryote. RNAcentral's name for it is "partial 18S ribosomal RNA". It matches the Rfam family "Eukaryotic small subunit ribosomal RNA", at positions 1470 to 1796 of the family's 1831-position model. The record is from RNAcentral.